RNAcentral lists this ribosomal RNA (1344 nucleotides) under Tuta absoluta. RNAcentral describes it as "16S ribosomal RNA". Lineage: Eukaryota; Metazoa; Arthropoda; Insecta; Lepidoptera; Gelechiidae. The record is from RNAcentral.
AUUUAUAAAUAAUUUAAUAAUAUUCAUUUUAUUUAAAAUUUAUUUUAAAUAUUUGAUCCUUUCGUACUAAAAUAUUUUAUUUUUCUAAAGAUAGAAACCAACCUGGCUCACACCGGUUUGAACUCAGAUCAUGUAAGAUUUUAAUGAUCGAACAGAUCAAAAUUUUAAACUUUUGCAUUUAAAUUUUAUCUUAAUCCAACAUCGAGGUCGCAAACUUUUCUUUUUAUAUGAACUAAAAAAAAAAAUUACGCUGUUAUCCCUAAGGUAAUUUUUUCUUUCAAUCAAAAUUUUUGGCUCUUUUACUCACUUAUUUAUGUUGUACUAUUUAAAAAAAGUUUUUUUAGUUUUUCUAUCACCCCAACAAAAUAAUUAUUAUAAUUUCUAUUAAUCAUUUAUAUAAAAUUAUUUAUUAUAAAAAUUAUAAAACUCUAUAGGGUCUUCUCGUCUUUUAAAUUUAUUUUAACUUUUUAAAUAAAAAAUUAAAUUCUAUAAAUAAUAAAGAGACAGUUUAUAUCUCAUCCAAUCUUUCAUACAAGUCACCAAUUAAGAGACUAAUGAUUAUGCUACCUUUGUACAGUCAAAAUACUGCAGCCCUUUAAUUUUCAUCAGUGGGCAGAUUAGACUUUAAAUUAUUUUCAAAAAGACAUGUUUUUGAUAAACAAGUGAAUAUAAAUUUUUGCCGAAUUCCUUUUUAUUAAUUUUCAAAAAUUUUUAAUUUAUUUUACAUAUAAAUUUUAUAUACUAAUUUUAUCAUUAUAAUUAAAUUUGAUUAUUUUUAAUUUAUUUUAUUUUAUAAAAAAUUAAAUAUUUAAUUAAAUUUUUCUUACCAUAAAAUUAUUUAUAAAAAACUAAAAUUUAUUAACAAUUUAAAUUAUAAAAAUAUUAAUUUUUAAUUUAUUAUUAUAAUUAUUUAAUUUAAAGCUUAUCCCCUAAAUUAUUAAAUUUUAAUUAAAAGUUUUUAAAAAUUAAAAAACAUUUUAAAAAUUAAAAUUUAAAAUUAAAUUUUUUUCUAAAAAAACUAGAUAUAUUUAAAAACGAUUAACAUUUCAUUUCAAAUUAAUUAUUUAAAAUAUUUUUGCAACAAUAACUUUUAUAAUUAAUUAACUCUUUUAAAUUCGAGAAAAUUUUCCCUAAAAUUUUUUUUUAAUAAACUCUGAUACACAAGAUACAUUAAAUUAAAAUUACUUUUUAAAAAAUUUUUUUUAAAUUAUUUCAAAAUUCUUUCACAAUACUAUUAAACUAUAAAAUUUUAAAUUUUUUCUUUUAAAAUACUUUAACCCCCCAUUUAAAAUAUUUUAAUUUAAAAAUUUCUUUUUUUAGUUUUUAUUAUUAAUUUUUCCCCCU